This is a long non-coding RNA of Cynoglossus semilaevis (tongue sole), 1254 nucleotides long. RefSeq lists it as uncharacterized. Lineage: Eukaryota; Metazoa; Chordata; Actinopteri; Pleuronectiformes; Cynoglossidae. The transcript is spliced from 4 exons. The record is from RefSeq and is a predicted model, not a curated record.
GCGUGGCUUGCAGGACAGGCAGCCAUUGUAGUCGGAGCAGGUCAGACAGCCGCCCUGCUGACACCCUGAGCUCACACCAGAGAUCUCUGUUGAUUGGAACAAGGUCCCACAGGCUGACGUCACAUCUAACUGCCAUCUGGGGGUGAACCACAUUUGUACCAGAAUAAAUCCAACAUAACUACCAGCCUACAACAACACAGCUGCAACAGCAAAAGUCUGCCAGCCCAUUCCUGUGGUGUCAGGGUCCAGGGGGUGUCGAGAGAGAGCUGACCCCCGAUGUACAGCAAAUAAAACUGAUUUACAGCUGCUCCGCUGGCUUCACCACACUUUAUAAAACUGUCCUGAGCAGAGUUACGACCCCCAGACAGACUGACAUCACACUGGCUCUGUGAUCUGACCUUGCGCUGACCUGGGCCAGUAUCUGGUUCACCUGUCCAGAGGGGAUCUCCACAUCAUACAGCCAGGUCAUUACUCUUUAUCAUUGUCAUCUUGUGACUGUGCACUGAGCUAAAUAUGAAAAAUUAUCAAUAUUUAUUUAUAAAAACUUUUAUGACAAGUUAAUGACGUAGGACAUCUUUACACCACUCCUCUUCUUCUGUGUUGGUCUGUAAAGUGCAGGUGGAUGGUAUGCAUUUCUGAGAUGGACAGGGUAAAAGAAAGACCCAGGAGUGGGGUCUGUGGGGGGAGGGGUGAUGAUCAGAAAUGGCCCUUUUGCUCCCUCCUGUGGGCAAAAUGGUCCAAUAUAACCCAUCAACGGUUUUGUCAGGAUUCCAAUACAAAUACAGUAAAAUACUGCGAUAAAAAACACAUAACUCAAUAGCACAAAAUGAAUAGAGUUGGUCAGUAGUGCACCUUAAGGCCAGUUGUCUAUUGUCUUCUGCACAUUGAUAAGAUACUCAUGUUAGCUGUAGUCAUUUACAGCAGCACUAAAACAAUGAUUUUACCCACACUGCUAACUUCUAAUGUUCAGUUUUGUAGAACUCUCAUCUGUUUUACUCAGAUGAAUACAACCAAGUGCAUUUAGGGUAACGUAACAUUUUGGACAACUGUAAGUGAGAAUUCUCAGCAAUAUAUCCGACCUGGUCAUGAGAAGAUCUGUGGGAAUCCUGUAGGUUCUGAUGAGAUCCACAUGGAAUUUCUGACACGUUUCUCAAAUUAGUAAUUUUAAAAAUGUUCCCUUGUAUUUGUAUUCCUAAAACUCAUAAUGUAAACAUCCAAUGAGGAUUUUUUUUAAAUGUUCGACCUUUUGGUCAG